AUGAUAAUUAGUUUAAGCCAAAAACAAAUGAUUUCGACU
RNAcentral lists this transfer RNA (39 nucleotides) under Canis lupus familiaris (dog). Its description in RNAcentral is "partial tRNA-Arg". The record is from RNAcentral. Lineage: Eukaryota; Metazoa; Chordata; Mammalia; Carnivora; Canidae.